AACGAACGCUGGCGGCAGGCCUAACACAUGCAAGUCGAGCGGACCCUUCGGGGUUAGCGGCGGACGGGUGAGUAACGCGUGGGAACGUGCCCUUUGCUCCGGAAUAGCCCUGGGAAACUGGGAGUAAUACCGGAUACGCUCUUUUGGGGAAAGAUUUAUCGGCGAAGGGUCGGCCCGCGUUGGCUUAGUUUGUUGGGGGGGUAAUUGCCUACCACGCCGACGUUCCAUAGCUGGGUUGAGAGGAUGCUCAGCCACACUGGGCCUGGGACACGGCCCAGACUACUACAGGAGGCGGCAAUGGGGGAUCUUAGACAAUGGGGGGAGCGCUGAACUAGCCAGGCCGGGUGAGCGAUGAAGGUCGGAGGGUAGUAAAGCUAUUUCACCGGGGAAGAUAAUGACGGUACCCGGAGAAGAAGCCCCGGCUAACUCCGUG
This 433-nucleotide ribosomal RNA is filed under the name uncultured bacterium. RNAcentral describes it as "partial 16S ribosomal RNA". It matches the Rfam family "Bacterial small subunit ribosomal RNA", at positions 28 to 507 of the family's 1533-position model. The record is from RNAcentral.